GAUAAGUGCAGUUUUGCACUAUUUAUAUUCAACGUUUGAUCGUUCGUCUUAUUUAAAAUUUUUUUAUGAUUAUUAUUUUUAUUGCUAUUAGAUUAUAAAAUAUGAAUAAUAUUUUAUGUGUGACUAAAUAUUUUUAAUUUUUUUACAAAUUUUUCAAAUAAGACGGACGAUCAAACGUUGGGUACGGAUAUCCACGGCUGUACUUAUU
This is a microRNA precursor of Oryza sativa Indica Group (long-grained rice), 208 nucleotides long. It matches the Rfam family "MIR812 microRNA precursor family". Lineage: Eukaryota; Viridiplantae; Streptophyta; Magnoliopsida; Poales; Poaceae. The record is from Rfam.